GGAUGUGAGAGAAAUCUGGCUGUGACACCUGUCACCUGACUGAUUGCCAAGGUUGAUUCAGCUGAUCUGUUUAGCUAGGCAGGUGUCCCCUUGCUCUCUCAUCACUCCACAUGCAUCCAUCCCAAAGUGGAAGAAGAUAGCCUUCUCCAUAGAGGACGACUAUUCUUUGAUCAAAGGUACACAAGAAACUGUGUUACCCUACUCAAGCAUUCAAACAAGCUCUGAAGGUCCAUUUGUAGGAAAAGGUAGGAUAGCCAAGCCUGUCAGACUCCAGACACAUCCAAAUGAGACCCUGCAUGAGAUAGUCAGCCUUUAUUA
Molecule: small nuclear RNA, 318 nt
Filed under: Vulpes vulpes (red fox)
Lineage: Eukaryota; Metazoa; Chordata; Mammalia; Carnivora; Canidae
Description: 7SK RNA (ENSVVUG00000013433.1)
Rfam family: 7SK RNA
About the family: 7SK was discovered as an abundant small nuclear RNA in the mid-70s but a possible function has only recently been suggested.
Source: Rfam by way of RNAcentral